AGGGGUCAAGGGCCCAUUAGCCUGUGAUUUGUGCCUUGACUCAUUGACUUAAGUGAUUUUAAGUGACUUGCAGAGCCAAGGACCCCUCUGUGCAGUCAUACCUUGUUGCAUCCGAGAUGAAGAUCUGUGUGUAUGAGUGGCGCCCUACACUUCAGGACAUGGACCCAUGGAGGAGUAUCAUGGCAUGGAGAGAUGCAGCGGGAAAAGUUUCACGUGCCUGAAUCCCGCAAAUCUGGAUCAGAGACACGACUCGAGGACAAAGAGGGGAUCUCAAACAUUAGGAGGGGACAAAAUACAUUUUCUCGAAGCAACCAGGUCACUCAUUUGGAGAUAGAGGUCAGAGGCACUCUUAGAGGCCGUGAAUCGCCCUCGGAUGGAAGGGGAAUAUUGAUUGUCUCCAG
Non-coding RNA from Pogona vitticeps (central bearded dragon), 401 nucleotides. The record is from RefSeq and is a predicted model, not a curated record. NCBI's taxonomy places the organism in Eukaryota, Metazoa, Chordata, Lepidosauria, Squamata, Agamidae.